GACGAACGCUGGCGGCGUGCUUAACACAUGCAAGUCGGGCGGUAAGGCCCUUUCGGGGGUACACGAGCGGCGAACGGGUGAGUAACACGUGGGUGACCUGCCCUUAGCUCUGGGAUAAGCCUGGGAAACUGGGUCUAAUACCGGAUAUGACUCCAUAACGCAUGUUGUGGGGUGGAAAGCCUUGUGCGGCUAGGGAUGGGCCCGCGGCCUAUCAGCUUGUUGGUGGGGUGAUGGCCUACCGAAGGCGACGACGGGUAGCCGGCCUGAGAGGGCGACCGGCCACACUGGGACUGAGACACGGCCCAGACUCCUACGGGAGGCAGCAGUGGGGAAUCUUGCGCAAUGGGCGAAAGCCUGACGCAGCGACGCCGCGUGGGGAUGAC
RNAcentral lists this ribosomal RNA (383 nucleotides) under uncultured bacterium. RNAcentral's name for it is "bacterial SSU rRNA". It matches the Rfam family "Bacterial small subunit ribosomal RNA", at positions 28 to 412 of the family's 1533-position model. The record is from RNAcentral.